UCAGUACCGUGAGGGAAAGGCGAAAAGAACCCCGGGAGGGGAGUGAAAUAGAUCCUGAAACCGUGUGCGUACAAGCAGUAGGAGCUCGCAAGAGUGACUGCGUACCUUUUGUAUAAUGGGUCAGCGACUUACUGUUCGUGGCAAGCUUAACCGUAUAGGGGAGGCGAAGGGAAACCGAGUCUGAUAAGGGCGCAUAGUCGCGGGCAGUAGACCCGAAACCGGGUGAUCUAGUCAUGGCCAGGGUGAAGGUGCCGUAACAGGUACUGGAGGCCCGAACCCACGUCUGUUGCAAAAGACGGGGAUGAGCUGUGAUUAGGAGUGAAAAGCUAAUCGAACCCGGAGAUAGCUGGUUCUCCUCGAAAGCUAUUUAGGUAGCGCCUCGGACGAAUACUACUGGGGGUAGAGCACUGUUAUGGCUAGGGGGUCAUCGCGACUUACCAAACCAUUGCAAACUCCGAAUACCAGUACGUACUAUCCGGGAGACACACGGCGGGUGCUAACGUCCGUCGUGAAAAGGGAAACAACCCAGACCCACAGCUAAGGUCCCAAAUUCACUGCUAAGUGGAAAACGAUGUGGAAAGGCAUAGACAGCCAGGAGGUUGGCUUAGAAGCAGCCACCCUUUAAAGAAAGCGUAAUAGCUCACUAGUCGAGUCGGCCUGCGCGGAAGAUGUAACGGGGCUCAAACCAUGCACCGAAGCUACGGGUAUCAUCUUCGGAUGAUGCGGUAGAGGAGCGUUCUGUAAGCCUGUGAAGGUGAGUUGAGAAGCUUGCUGGAGGUAUCAGAAGUGCGAAUGCUGACGUGAGUAACGACAAUGCGAGUGAAAAACUCGCACGCUGAAAGACCAAGGGUUCCAGUCCAACGUUAAUCGGGGCUGGGUGAGUCGACCCCUAAGGCGAGGCCGAAAGGCGUAGUCGAUGGGAAAUCGGUUAAUAUUCCGAUACUUGUUUAUGAUGCGAUGGAGGGACGGAGAAGGUUAUGCCAGCUUGGCGAUGGUUGUCCAAGUGGAAGGAUGUAGUUAGGUUUAGUAGGCAAAUCCGCUAGACUAUUAAUGAGAUCUGAUAGCAAGCUGUACUUGUACAGCGAAGUGGCAAAUACCCUGCUUCCAGGAAAAGCUUCUAAGCGAUAGUCAUAAACAAAUCGUACCCUAAACCGACACAGGUGGUCAGG
Molecule: ribosomal RNA, 1169 nt
Filed under: Aurantiochytrium limacinum
Lineage: Eukaryota; Bigyra; Thraustochytrida; Thraustochytriidae
Description: partial Bacterial large subunit ribosomal RNA
Rfam family: Bacterial large subunit ribosomal RNA
Source: RNAcentral